CAAAAAAAAAAAAAAAAAGAAAUAUCUCCCAACAGCUAAAAUCUCUUCAAGUCCAGAACAUGGAGCUUGCAGAAAAGCUGCAGCAUGUGACUGAAACACUCUGUCGUGUGCUCUAUGACAAAACUGGAGAUUUCAUAUUGUAUUAGAUGACACAACCCCAAGAAGCAGAGGCUGUGUGGCCAUCAUCAGUGGAAUGGCUUUCUCAAAGGACUGCCGAGUUGAGGCGGUGUGCAUGUGAGAGGAGGAUGGCAAAAGUGAAGCCAAAAAGCCUCCAUUGGCCUCCCUGAACCAUUUGGCCAAAGUGAUUGACUCCCCAGCUGCAACUACAACAGAGUUGAGCCAAGUGAGGUCAAUGCAAGGGCUACUUGAGACAUUGGGAAAUGGAACAUUAUCAGGAAAGACCGUCUCUGUCACUAGUACAAGAUGGAGUCUCAUGUUUCCUGUUCACAGUCACCAGACUUUCCAAGUUUGGGUCCAUGCACAUAUUUACCAGUCCCAAGAAGUCCUAUUUAUAUGCCACUAACCAGCCUCAGAAAUUCAUAAUGUCAUCUACCUUCUUGGCUUAGAGAUAACUUUUGGCUUUCUUUCUUCCCAAUGUCUAAUAUCACCUCCCUGUUUCCAUGUCUUCUUUACAUCUGGAGGAGUGAGAAACUUUUUAAAGUAGAAGAAAUAUUGGGAAGUAACAUCUUUUGCCCUGACAGUCAAGUAGUCCAUCUGAAUUUAGCAGUCAUUCCCCAGAUUGUACCACCAAAUGCACAAGGAAUCUUCUUCUUGUUUCAGUUCACACUGUUCACUUCCCAGUCCCUCAGUAAAGACCCCAUCUACUAUGUCUAUGGCCUGCUUCCCAACAGGGAUGUCUCUUGUUAUGAGAAUCUCAAUGUCCUCUAAACAUCCAUCCCUGUGUCCAUUAAGAUUCUGAUAAUUUGGUCCUUUUGUAGUUCAUGAGCAUGAUGAUUGGGUGUUCAUGAGAACAUGGGAGAUAUGCCACCCUCUGAACCUUGUUAUGACAUCGGUACAUUACCCAUCUGACCUAAGGGGGGAAAAAUUCUGAUAAUUGUCUACCUUCCAUAGGAAUUUAUUCUAGGAAGGAAAUAUAUCCCAACUCAAUUCCAUAUCAGAAUUACUCUCCCUGAUAUUCCCUUUAUUGAAGACCAAAAAAAAUUACUCUCUUUAUGUGCACCUGUAAUAGCUUGAUUUCAGUCCCUAUUUUCUUCCAUUUGACUCAAAUUUACACCGUUCAUAUACUGAAGAUUUAAUGAUAAUAAAUGCGACCACGGUGAAGUGUGUGUUUUAGAAUGGACUUACGAUUUGGGGGAAAAUUCAGCAUGGGAAUGCUUCUCAAAAUAUAACAAUCUGCCUUACUGAGAGUUUUUGGGAAAUCUACAAGAGUACUGAUUAUGUGAUUAUCUGGGAAAAAAUAAGAGGUCUUUGAAAUGCAUAUUGUCUUCAAGAGAACAGUUUUAACACUUUACUAAAAUGAAAUCUUUUGAAGCAAACUCGUGGCAUCAAUACUUGGUUGAUGAGUAAGCUGAGUUUCAUUAGUGCACCUGAUUUCUAAUCAGAUCAUGAGACAUGAACAGAGACAGUGACAUCUGUGUAGCUUUUCCUUUGGUAGGCACUUCUUUCUUGAGAUGACUCCAUGAGCAAACAUAACUGGGAUUGUUGUGAAUGACACCAUCACAGCCACAAAGUUGAUUGGUUCAUUGAUAAAUCAAUUAUGGGGUUUUGAUGCUAGAAGGAUAACAUAUUAGAAAUCUUUACUUUUCAAUAGCGGAAACUAAGGUGCUUCACUUUUGUUUUCAGUAAACAUCUGUGUCAUUUUGAACUAACAUAGAGUAGCAAUUACAUGAGAAAGAACACAGUGCUCAUUUUCGUAAGACUUCAUUUCAUAAAUUGUCACUUAGCAAAGGUUAUUGCAGAUUCUUCCUUGAGAACUUCCCAUUUUCUGUUGAUUUCCUUAAACAUUUCUUCAGGGUUGAACAAGUUCUGUUGAUACAUUGUGUCCUGCAAAGAAAACUGUAUUUGUGGUCAAAAAACGAGGAUUUUAGAUCUCUGAUUCUGAUUUACUUAUUUGGCAAAUCGUUUUACUUCAUGGAGCAUAUUUCAUGAUAUAUGAGGUAGAAAUAGUUAUAAUUUCCUCAUAAUAUUACUGUUAGCUGAAAUGAGGUAAAUGUGAAAUUGGUUUCAUAAUCUGAACUGCAAUAUAAAAUGUAAGAGAAAUCAAGAAAAUAUUUUUAAAAGGAUCUAGUGAUUUACUUUUGAAUAUAGGGGAGCACAAACAUGCAUAAACAAUGUUAAAAGAAAAACUUAAGAUGAAUUAAAUUUAAAGGAGUUUAAUUGAGCAAUGAAUGUUUUGUGAAUUAGGCAGCCUCCUGAACCAGAGCAGAGUCAGGCUCCAGCACAGCCAGGUGGUGGAGAAGAUUUAUGGACAGAAAUAGCAAAGUGUAGCACAGAAAAAGGGCGUGAGGUACAGAAAAAACUAGAUUGGUUACAGCUCAGCGUUUGCCUUGUUUGAACAUGGUUCAAACAGUUGGCUACAUAUGAUUGACCAAAACAUGGCGAUUGGCACAAGUGUAGGCUAGGGUCUGUUUACACGUCAACUUGCUUUAGUUCAGAAAAUGUACAGAGAAACCUUUAGGCAGAGCUUAAAAUAUGUAAGGAUACGACAGGAGAAGUUUUGUUGUUAAACUCGUUUUAACAACAAACUUCUUUGGAGAUUUGUAUUUAAGAAAAAGUUGUAGAAGGACACCUACAUUAGGGAACUAAGGCAAUUAUUAGCAAAUAUUUUCUGUGAUGAGAGCAGAUGUUCCAUGAAAGUAGUUCGUAUUAUAGAUACACAAGAAGUGAGAAUUAAGUCUGUAAUUAAGCAAUUGUUAUGUAAGCCUUGGUGCUACAAAAAGAAAAUAUGGCUCAUGGAGAAAGUCAAAUGAUUUGGGGGAUUAAGUUGCAAAACAGAGACAUGUAUUCUAAAUGUUUUGACUCCUAGCAUCCUAUGUAGUUGCAGGCUAGCUCAGGGAUGGAUGGCAAGCAUCUCUUUAAAUGCCAUUAAUUUGAAGAGUCUAGCUACUUGCAGAGUGAGUGUUGAAUGGUGUCUUUCCAAGUCUGGGACUAGGCAGUAGUAUCACUUUAGAGAGCAAAGAGGGAAAAAAAUAGCAAACAUUUCAAAACAACAGAAAAAGAGUGUAGUAUAACAUUCUCUCCACUCAAUUUUUCACAUCGAUUUUAAGAAUAGGAAAUAAUCAUAAAAUGAAAUUUUAACUGACUUGCUGAGAACAAUAUCCAAUUAAGAACCAGAGAAGGGCACUGUAUGAAUUGGUUAUCAGCAUGAGGAGACUUUUUUU
Sapajus apella (tufted capuchin) is the source of this 3341-nucleotide long non-coding RNA. RefSeq lists it as uncharacterized. The record is from RefSeq and is a predicted model, not a curated record. The transcript is spliced from 3 exons. Lineage: Eukaryota; Metazoa; Chordata; Mammalia; Primates; Cebidae.